AAUAAAGAGUUGGGCCUGCUCGGUGAAUAAAUUGUUUUAACAGCUGCGGUAUUUUAACUGUACUAAGGUAGCAUAAUAAUUUGCCUUAUAAUUUGAGGCUAGAAUGAAUGGUUUGACGAAGGUUAAUCUGUCUCUACUUUAUUUUUUAGAAUUUAAUUUUUAUAGUGAAAAAGCUUGAAUUUUUUAAAGGGACGAGAAGACCCUAUUGAGCUUAUAAUUUUAUUGCUGGUUCAUUAUCGAUAGAUGAAGAGUAUAUAAAUUUUAAUUGGGGUGAUUAAGGAAUAACAUUAAUUAGUAACUUCCUUAUAAAAAGAUUUUGUUGAAUGAAGUAACCAAUAAUAAAUAUUGCUUAUAAUAUAGUUACCAUAGGGAUAACAGCGUAAUUUGUUUAGAGAGUUCUUAUUGAAAAACAAGAUUGCGACSUCGAUGUUGGAUUAAAGUAACCUUAAGGUGCAGAAGCUUUAUUAGGUAAAUCUGUUCAUUU
RNAcentral lists this ribosomal RNA (484 nucleotides) under Onychoteuthis sp. RNAcentral describes it as "partial 16S ribosomal RNA". It matches the Rfam family "Bacterial large subunit ribosomal RNA", at positions 1844 to 2586 of the family's 2925-position model. Lineage: Eukaryota; Metazoa; Mollusca; Cephalopoda; Oegopsida; Onychoteuthidae. The record is from RNAcentral.